RNAcentral lists this transfer RNA (73 nucleotides) under Candidatus Pacearchaeota archaeon. Its description in RNAcentral is "tRNA-Gln". It matches the Rfam family "tRNA". Rfam says of the family: Transfer RNA (tRNA) molecules are approximately 80 nucleotides in length. Lineage: Archaea; Nanobdellati. The record is from RNAcentral.
AGCCCUGUAGUACAGCGGUCAAGUAUGCGAGGCUUUGGACCUCGUGACCCAGGUUCGAAUCCUGGCAGGGCUA